CUGGAAUUGAGCCUGAAGAUGUUGCAAAACGCCUCAUGGACUAUGGUUUUCAUGCACCAACAAUGUCAUGGCCUGUGCCUGGCACACUCAUGAUUGAGCCUACAGAGAGUGAAAGCAAGGUUGAUACUAACCUUGGAAAAUUAGACCUUUGAACCCUUUUUUUGAGUAAUUUCUUCUCUAAUCCAACUAAUCAUCAUUGCAGGCCGAGUUGGACAGGUUCUGUGAUACUCUUAUUUCAAUUAGAGAAGAAAUUGCUGAAAUAGAGAAAGGAAAGGCUGACAUAAACAACAAUGUGCUUAAGGUAAAAAAUUUGAUCUUCAUUGAUAUGAUGUUACACAAAAAGAUGAAUGCUUGUUUCAGUUUUGAUUAUUUACAGUACACAAGACAUUUCAAGGCUACCUUUUAAAUAGUAACUAACUUUUUCAACACUCUAUUGCUGUUUAAAACUUGUUGGAAAUCACAAAAAUUUGAGAGUCACUUAUUUACUCCCUCAUGAAUUACUAGUUUCCAAUAAUAUGUUUAAUCAAUGAUAGAGGGCAUGUUAGAAGUGUUAGUAGCAUACUAAUUAUUACAUAAUCUAGUAAGACAGAGGGUGUGUUGGAAAGUGCUAGUAACAUACCCUUUAAAAUGAGAGAUUGUUACAUGAUCCAGUCAAGAGCUUAUAGACAGAUGGUGGUCCAAGAUCAUACAAUUUCUUUGCCAUUGGCUGUGCGUUUCAUUCACAAUUUCAACUUACUUCAUGCACUUUUGACUGAUUAUCUAAAAUGUUCUGCAGGGAGCUCCUCAUCCACCAUCAUUGCUCAUGGCUGAUGCAUGGACAAAACCAUACUCAAGGGAAUAUGCAGCCUUCCCAGCUCCGUGGCUCCGUGCUUCAAAGUUCUGGCCUACCACAGGUAAUCAUGCAGUUGUUUGCUUAUAUAACUAUGCUUUCUGAUUGAAAUCUCACUUCAACUAGUGAUAAGACGAAUUUAUAGUAUAUAAGUAAGUUCAAACUUCACUUUAAAGUUGGUUUUAUAGGACUAAGUUAGAUUUAGAGCCUAAUUCUUAAAAUGGUAUCAAAAUCAUUUAAAAAUAUUUAUCAAGAUAAGAUUUGUUGUUUGUUGAACAUAUCAUGUUGGAGCACCCAUAAAUAUCUAGUCGCAUGCUUGAGAUGUAUAUGUCUCGAUGUGAGAUGGAUUGAUUUUGUAGGGUUAAGUUAGAUUUAAAGUUAUUUCUUAGUAUGUUCUUAUGACAUCCUUCUCAUGAUAAACCUUACCACCAUUAUCAUCCCUUGUUUAAUAUUUUGUGCAAUGCUGAAUGUAACAAAUGUAAAUGCUUAGACUAACAAAUGUAACGUGUAUCAGGACGUGUUGAUAAUGUGUAUGGUGACCGCAACCUCAUUUGCACCCUUCUCCCAGCAUCACAGGCUGUUGAAGAAGAAGCUGCAGCCACAGCCUAGUCUGCUCCAUUGACAACUAUUUCCAUUUCAUGUUGUACAUAAAACUCUUCCUAUUCAUACAGUGCUUUCACCUCUUGAAUAUUGCUUCAUCAUAUGUGAUAAUGAUGAUAAUCAUCUCCUCUUAAGUUGAAAAGAAAAAUCAUUCACAUAAUUUCUGCUGCUAUUAGGUUUUAGAAAUGUAUUUUAGGC
This 1627-nucleotide long non-coding RNA is filed under the name Vigna radiata. RNAcentral's name for it is "long non-coding RNA (VRAD_LNC005683)". Lineage: Eukaryota; Viridiplantae; Streptophyta; Magnoliopsida; Fabales; Fabaceae. The record is from RNAcentral.